AUACGGAGGGUGCAAGCGUUAAUCGGAAUUACUGGGCGUAAAGAGCAUGUAGGCGGAUUGAUUAGUCAGAGGUGAAAGCCCCGAGCUCAACUUGGGAAUUGCCUUUGAUACUGUCAAUCUAGAGACCGAGAGAGGUGAGUGGAAUUCCCAGUGUAGAGGUGAAAUUCGUAGAUAUUGGGAAGAACACCAGUGGCGAAGGCGGCUCACUGGCUCGGUACUGACGCUGAGAUGCGAAAGCGUGGGGAGCGAACAGGAUUAGAUACCCUAGUAGUCC
Molecule: ribosomal RNA, 274 nt
Filed under: uncultured bacterium
Lineage: Bacteria
Description: partial 16S ribosomal RNA
Rfam family: Bacterial small subunit ribosomal RNA
Source: RNAcentral